UCUUGAUCGUAUAACCACAGCGUUAUGUUAUUUUCUGGAGAAAGGAAAAAAAUAGCUACAACCCACUCUGCAAGAUAGUGCUAACCUAUUCCAGUGUGAGAGUGCCCCAAAAUAARGGUUUUUUAUAACAUUUUAUUAUGGCCAGAUCGAACAAAAUAAGAAUCUUCGGGCAUUUUAAAUUAAAACAUCCAACAUUUAGUACAAAUAACAAUUACUAUAUAGUGGUUAUAUAUUAUAUGGAGCAUCUAUUUAAGUCUUUUUAAAGUAUCAAAAUCACUGCAGCCAUGACUUCUGAAGGUGUCAAAUUAGAAGUUAUCAAUAUUUUGAAUGAGAAUGGCAACGUUUGACCUUAUAUAGGGCACCUUGGGUUGAUUCAGAGAGAUGAAACAGGCUUCAAAUAUCUUUACAAAAAUUAAUGAGGUGUUUCCAUCACAUUUUUCAACAAAGGAACCAUUGCCUAGAAUUCAUUGGAAAAAUUUCUCUUGUGCCGAUGCUCCAGUUUGACGAAAAAAAGAUUCAGAAAAUUUAUGUCCAAAAAUUUUUAUAGAGAGAGAGAGAGAGAAUCUACAGUCGUAUAUCGAAGGUAAAAGCGUCAAUGGGUUUUAUAAUGAGGACUUUUCGAAGGCGUUGGAACGACUGGGCAAAGAAUUCCUGGCGUACACAGGGAUCACUGAACCGCAUUCAAAUGUAUAUGCAUCAAGUGCUUCUCAGGAAGGCUAUUUCGCUCGUUUACAACAGAGUAUGAGAGAGACCGUACAGUUGCCCUGUUCAGCAGAUCGAUUCGUUUGUGAACACCUAAAGCGGCUACAGAGCGGGACCAAUGAAUUAGGUGCACAACUGAAGCACGCCAACCACGCAAA
Bactrocera latifrons is the source of this 860-nucleotide long non-coding RNA. RefSeq lists it as uncharacterized. NCBI's taxonomy places the organism in Eukaryota, Metazoa, Arthropoda, Insecta, Diptera, Tephritidae. The transcript is spliced from 3 exons. The record is from RefSeq and is a predicted model, not a curated record.